CAUUAGAUGACUGAAAGCAAGUAAUGGUCUCUUAAACCACAUAAUAGUAAAUUAGUGAUUACUUCUAAUGG
Molecule: transfer RNA, 71 nt
Filed under: Bullanga florida
Lineage: Eukaryota; Metazoa; Arthropoda; Insecta; Neuroptera; Myrmeleontidae
Description: tRNA-Lys
Source: RNAcentral